This 95-nucleotide transfer RNA is filed under the name Hortaea werneckii. Its description in RNAcentral is "tRNA-Asn". It matches the Rfam family "tRNA". Rfam says of the family: Transfer RNA (tRNA) molecules are approximately 80 nucleotides in length. RNAcentral also lists the same sequence under 1 other name. Lineage: Eukaryota; Fungi; Ascomycota; Dothideomycetes; Mycosphaerellales; Teratosphaeriaceae. The record is from RNAcentral.
UCCUCUGUGGCGCAAUUGGCUAGCGCGUUCGGCUGUUAAUCCUCUACAAGGAGAAGCAAACCGGAAGGUUUCAAGUUCGAAUCUUGGCAGGGGAG